Molecule: ribosomal RNA, 386 nt
Filed under: uncultured bacterium
Lineage: Bacteria
Description: bacterial SSU rRNA
Rfam family: Bacterial small subunit ribosomal RNA
Source: RNAcentral
AGCGAACGUUUGCGGCGGGCUUAACACAUGCAAGUCGAACGGGCUGUUCCUUCGGGGGCAGUCAGUGGCGCACGGGUGCGUAACACGUAGGUAAUCAACCCUCUGGUUGGGGAUAACACUUCGAAAGGAGUGCUAAUACCCGGUAUGGCGCAGCGGUCUUCGGAUCGCGGCGAGAAAGACCCGNAAGGGUUGCCAGAGGACGAGCCUGCGGCCCAUCAGCUAGUUGGCAGGUAACGGCUCACCAAGGCGAAGACGGGUAGCUGGUCUGAGAGGAUGAUCAGCCACACUGGAACUGAGACACGGUCCAGACUCCUACGGGAGGCAGCAGUGGGGAAUAUUGCGCAAUGGGGCGAAAGCCUGACGCAGCCACGCGCGUGAGCGAUGAA